AGCAUAUCAAUAAGCGGAGGAAAAGAAACCAACAGGGAUUGCCCUAGUAACGGCGAGUGAAGCGGCAACAGCUCAAAUUUGAAAUCUGGCUCUCUUUGGGGGUCCGAGUUGUAAUUUGCAGAGGAUGCUUUGGCAUUGGCGGCGGUCUAAGUUCCUUGGAACAGGACAUCGCAGAGGGUGAGAAUCCCGUACGUGGGCGCCUGCCUUUGCCGUGUAAAGCUCCUUCGACGAGUCGAGUUGUUUGGGAAUGCAGCUCUAAAUGGGAGGUAAAUUUCUUCUAAAGCUAAAUACCGGCCAGAGACCGAUAGCGCACAAGUAGAGUGAUCGAAAGAUGAAAAGUACUUUGGAAAGAGAGUCAAAAAGCACGUGAAAUUGUUGAAAGGGAAGCGCUUGCAGCCAGACUUGCCCGCAGUUGCUCACCUAGGCUUUGGCCUGGGGCACUCUUCUGCGGGCAGGCCAGCAUCAGUUUGGGCGGUUGGAUAAAGGCCUCUGUCACGUAUCUUCCUUCGGGAUGACCUUAUAGGGGAGGCGUAAUGCAACCAGCCCGGACUGAGGUCCGCGCAUCUGCUAGGAUGCUGGCGUAAUGGCUGUAAGCGGCCCGUCUUGAAACACGGACCAAGGAGUCUAACAUCUAUGCGAGUGUUUGGGUGUCAAGCCCGGGCGCGCAAUGAAAGUGAACGGAGGUGGGAACCCUUUGGGUGCACCAUCGACCGAUCCUGAUGUCUUCGGAUGGAUUUGAGUAAGAGCAUAGCUGUUGGGACCCGAAAGAUGGUGAACUAUGCUUGAAUAGGGUGAAGCCAGAGGAAACUCUGGUGGAGGCUCGCAGCGGUUCUGACGUGCAAAUCGAUCGUCAAAUUUGGGCAUAGGGGCGAAAGACUAAUCGAACC
This 887-nucleotide ribosomal RNA is filed under the name Microdiplodia sp. CPC 12268. Its description in RNAcentral is "eukaryotic LSU rRNA". It matches the Rfam family "Eukaryotic large subunit ribosomal RNA", at positions 37 to 941 of the family's 3401-position model. Lineage: Eukaryota; Fungi; Ascomycota; Dothideomycetes; Botryosphaeriales; Botryosphaeriaceae. The record is from RNAcentral.